UUUGUGGAUAUUCUGCCUUUGCUAUUGCCUUUUUAUCUCCAAGAAAUCCUGAUGUCAAAGAAAAAUAAAGGAAAACUACUGCCCUCGCUCAAAUUAAACACAAUUCUACCAACACAUGAUAAAGGGAGCAGGAAAGGUCCAGCUACAGUCUGAAGCAUGCAAUUUAGGAACACAAGGCACAGAAGCAGAAGGAAUAGGGCUUCUAUGGGCUAGCUCAGCUCCCCACCGUGACUUUAUAAUUGGAGUUUGUGAAUGGUUAUCACCAUCUGAGGGACUGGCCAACAUGGCUGUUUUAACUCCUAAAGACUUUCAUCAGCUAAAGAGAAUGUGAACAACAGAUACUCUUAAAAUGAAACCUUUACUUAAUACUUAACAUUUCAUAGUAUUUAACUGAUUUUUCUGCUGUGUAUUUAAUGAAGGGUUAAAAAGAUUUUAAUAAUGCAUUUACCAUGAUACUAAGCAGGUUUAGAUCUCUGUAUACUGAGCCUUGUUUAAAUCUGUUUAAUGUUGGACAGGGCAGUGAGCAUAUAUUCCAUCUGUAUUAUCACAACAGAACCUUUUGACUUUAUCAGUUUUGAUGUAAAGUUACCUCAGUUGUCACCAAAAAGUUGAGAGGCCAAAUACUGCAUGAAC
Non-coding RNA from Pelodiscus sinensis (Chinese soft-shelled turtle), 633 nucleotides. The record is from RefSeq and is a predicted model, not a curated record. Lineage: Eukaryota; Metazoa; Chordata; Testudines; Trionychidae.